This 252-nucleotide ribosomal RNA is filed under the name uncultured bacterium. RNAcentral describes it as "partial 16S ribosomal RNA". It matches the Rfam family "Bacterial small subunit ribosomal RNA", at positions 524 to 776 of the family's 1533-position model. The record is from RNAcentral.
UACGUAGGGGCAAGCGUUAUCCGGAUUCACUGGGUGUAAAGGGAGCGUAGACGGCCAUGCAAGCCUGGAGUGAAAGCCCGGGGCCCAACCCCGGGACUGCUCUGGGAACUGUGCGGCUGGAGUGCGGGAGGGGCAGGCGGAAUUCCUGGUGUAGCGGUGAAAUGCGUAGAUAUCAGGAGGAACACCGGCGGCGAAGGCGGCCUGCUGGACCGCGACUGACGUUGAGGCUCGAAAGCGUGGGGAGCAAACAGG